UUGAUGGCAAAACAGUAACAUGCUAAAUAAUGUGAUUAAAGUUGUUAAAAGCCAAAAUAAACACUUAUAAUUAUCUCAAGAAAAACGGUGUCGGGCAAGUGCAGGCUCUAUAAAGUGGGACUCCGUGAGCGUCUUUCAGGUCCUGCUGCACAAUAGAUCAUAGUUAAAGGUCUGUUAACAGACCUCUGACGGCUGAGCUGGGUAGCUUGCGGUUUCCUUCGAAACCUAUUGGCAUAAUGUGAAUUUAUGUGUGAGGUGCAAAUUGGAAGUUGCUUUCUACUGGUGCCCGUGGCAGAACAGAAAUCAUACUGUAGGGCUAGCAGCAGGAAGUACAUGGCUUUGAAAUUACGCAGCAGGGUUUCUGCUCGCUGCCCUUGUUGGUUCUGAGACAGGGGCCUUAUAUUGUCUGGUCAUGAUUAAAAUCAAAGUGUAGGCUUCUUUGCUGGGUGCCAGUAAACUUAGGUGAAAAGCAGAAACAAUCUGGGGUUUUAAUUAUUUUAAAAUGCAAUGUAGUCAAGAAAAGAAGAUGAAAGCAUUUUUGACUAAUCUAUCCCAAUUAUUCCACAUAAACGAAUUUGCCAAAAAAGAGGCCCAUAGAGAGAGUAAGCUUGCCUUUACAAGAGACUUCAUAACAUAUCUCACAGCUAUAAAAUAGAUAUAUGGCACGUAUGCUGUUCUUCUGAAACUCAUCGAGAAAAGUGCCUGAGGAUUAUGAUACUUUUGGGUAUAACCAUGGAAGAUUAAAGUUGCUCCUGGCUGUAAGAAGUUAAUGUGGAAUUUUGCUGCUUGAAAUUUAAAUCGGCUUACAAAAAUUAGCUCCCACUGGUGGAAACGUCUUUCUUCUUAGUAUGAGAAGUUGUUUGAAGCUUUUUUCUCUCUCAAAGUCUCAUCUUGAUCAGGCUUUAAUAUUGCUCUCAAACCAACCUUUAAUUUAAUAAGCAGAGUAAUUUUGUUGGGGAAAUUUUUCCAUGACAUUUGUUGAAUUAAAUGUACAUACUCAGUAUUCCAUCCCAGCAGCACCACCUAUUGUUGUCUUGUAGCUCUUCUACUAAACUUCACAAGAAUCUAAUUCACUCAUUUCUCUGGGUAUCUCUGUGAGAUACUCAACAUACAUUUUACAGGUUAUAAGGUUAAGCAUCCCAGUCGUGGUGAUGUUUCUAAAGUCAUAAAUCUGUAAAUAAAAUGAAUGCAGGACAGUAGACUUUUAAUUGGUGAAAGGACACUGAAUAGAGAGAUGACAUGCUUAUAAAAUAUUUAUGGAUAUUAAAAAAUGUUUGGCAAAUAAGAUUCAAGUUAUACCUGUAUGUUUUAAAAGUUCUACUAGCUAUGUACUGUGAUUCUACAAUUAACAGCAGAAUUGUAUUGGAAUAAGAUAACAGAGACUAAAUGAUAUUCUUUUGUGCCUACUGCUAUUGUACUUAGAAUAUUAUGUAUUGAUUUAUUGAAUAUAAGUGGCUUUUUUUCCAGUGGGGUUUUAAAAUCCACUUAUAAUAAAAACAAAUAGGAUUUACAUUUACAGGUAGAAAACGAAAAUCCGGAAGUGUGCAAAUGGGGUCCACUAUGGAAUUUUUUCAGCAUUAUUUCCAGAAGAGAGGUAGGAUUGGGAAUUUUAGUCUUUAUUUGAUAUUUACAUGCACUUAUAUGAAUGUGAGUCAUUGCCUGUGUUUUCUGUAAGCCAUCUUUACUUCAUGUAAACCAUGUAAAAUGCUAAAAAACUUUUUAGGAAGAAUAUAAUAAACAACAUACGGAGAUGGAGUAUUUUCACACAUAUUAUGUCAUUUGAUCUUCCUUGCAAUUCUCUAAGGUAGGUAAGGUGGCUUUGGAUCCUUGGCCUCUUCUUUUCUCACUAUGCACAUUCUUGAAAUUUCAUCUGCUUCUAUAGAUUCAAUUACCAACUGUACACUGAUCAUUUCAAAAUUUGUACCUAUGUUCCUUACAUCUCUCCCAACCUCUAGAAAAAAAUGUAUACAUCUAGAACUUCCACAAGCAUCUAAAACUCAAAACAAACUUGUUUCCUACAAAAACGAUGCAUCUUCCUAUACUCCUUAUCUUGGUGAAUGCCCUACCAUCUGCCUAGUUGCCCAAGCCAGGGAUCUAGAAGUUAUCUUAGACUCUCCCCUCUUGCUUGUCCUCUUCACUCACUCAGUUAAGACUGUUACAUUUCCUCAGUAUCUCUGAAUUCCACCCUGUUUUGUUCAGGCCCUAUCAUUUCUCACCUGGCUCAUUAUAAUACCUCUUACAACUACUAAUUUGACAUUCUCUGCUGUUAGAGAGACCUUUCUAAGAUUUAAGACUCUUAGUAAAAUACUUCAUGGAUGGUUUCUCAUUACUUUUAUGAUGAAGUACAAUUUUUAAACAAAUAAUAUGAUGCCACUUAAAAUAUAUGACCCAUGAGAAAUUUCCCAGUUUCCUAUCUUAUCUCUUCCUGAUCAUACUCAAUGUUCUUACCAAAUAGAUGUUUCAUUCUCCCAAAGUGGCAGUCCUAAGGAUGAUUCUUUAUUUGAAAAUCUAUUAAUGUAAGUCAUCUUAUGAUUAGAAAUAAGGAGCCAAAUCCUAUAAUCAUCUACAUAGAUGCUGAAUGACAUUUGAAAAAAAUUAAUACCCAUUCAUGUUAAAAACAACAAAUUAGGAAUUGAUAGAUAAUUUAAUAUGAUAGUACAUAUAAUCAUCAGAGCAAAAUGAACAUCUUAACUGAUGAGGAACAGAAAGUCAAUACCAGGAAAGGACAGUGGGUAUCUUAAUUGUUAUUUAGUUUUGAAUCGAAAGUAUUAGCCAAUGUUAUUAGACAACAGAAAUUGGAGGCAUGAGUAUUGGAAAUGAAGAGAUUAAACUACCUCUAUUGCAGAUGUUAUGAUUAUAUAUCUUGAAAACCAAAAAUAAUCUGUGAAAAACUACAAAUAGGAGAACUUAAUAAAAUAGCCAGAUAGAUAACUAACAUAAAAAUCAAUAGUUUUUUUUUUUUUGUGGGAAAUCAAUAGUCUUACUGUUUAUGUAUAAUGGAGAAGUAGACUCCAUACAUGAUAACAAAUAAAAUAGAAUAAAAGGGAAAACACAAAAUAAAAUUCCUAGGCAUAAAACUAUAUAAAUGUUUAAAACUUAUAUGAGGAAAACUACAAACAUGCCUGAGAGACAUAAAUAUGGCCUUAAACAGAAAGAUAUAACAUUAGUCAUGGCAAGCUGACUCAGCCUUAUAAGCAUGUUAAUUCUUCCUAAAUUAGUUAUUCAUAUAAUUCAAUUCCAAUAAAAAUAGCAGAAGUUUUUUCCCCUCUGGAGCUACACAAAUUGGUUAUAAAGUUCAUAUGGAAGAAUAAACAUGCAAUACUAAUCAGGAAAUUUCCUAAGAAGACAGGCAAUGCAUUUCUUUUUCUAAAAUAUAUUAUAAAGCCUCUAUAAUUAAAAGGUUGUGGUAUGGGUACAUGAGUAGACAGAAAGACCAAUGGAACCACACAGAAAAUCUGGUAAAGCAACUGAAAUACAAUAUUGAUAAAGAUAACCUCUCAUAAUAGAGGGAAAGUGUGUUUUUAAUCAGUAAAUGGCUUUGGAACACCUGGAUAACCAUAUGAGAAAAAGAUGAAAUUACAUCCAUUUAUCACACCAUAUGGUAGACAUCCAAAUGGAUCAGAGAUCUAAAUGCACAAAAUAUUUCAGAAGCAAUAAGGAAAAGAGUGAUAAAUUUGGCACAGAGUAAUAUUCUGAACACAUAAAAUGCUUCAAAGAAUUGAGAAAAAAAGGCCAAAACCUUAUAGAAAAUGGGAGAAAGACACAGAUAGUUCUCAGAAAAAGAAAUAAAAAUGACCCUCACACAUAGGAAAAUAUACUGAAUAUAUGAGAAAUGCAAAUUGAAACUACACUGAAAUAACACUUCUCACCUACCUGACUGGCAGAGAUCCCUAUACUCUGUUGUAGAGGUUUUGAUGAAAUAAGUAUGCAAAGUGGUAUCAGCUUCAAAGGGGUUGGGGGCGGGAGGAUUUAGCGUUAUUGAGCAAAACUGCAUAUACAUUUACUCUUCAGUCCUGCAACAUGACUUCUAGGAAUCUGUUCUAAAAAUGCAAAUUGACAUAUGGUCAAGACUGUUCCUCAUAGAAUUACUUAUAAUACUAAAAGAUGAAAUAGCUUAAAUAUUGAUAAAGGACUGGUUUAAUAAACUGGAGUACAUUCACACGUGGAACACAGGCCCUUUAGUGCUUAACAAAGGUGUCUGAAAUGCUUGUUAUUUUCAUUAUAUUAAAAGGAGUAAUUAGAGUGGUUAUCUAUCAACCUAAAAGCCUCAACCAAUUUCCUAAAACACAGUGAAUAACUUAUAUAUGUAAUAAAUGAUCAUGUGAAGAUGUAAAAUGCCUAAAAAAUCCACCUCCUAAUAACCAAUUACUAUAGUUGUUAACAGUCACCUUAUAUGGCGACUUCCGGGAAAGUGCCUUUCCUCACCUUCAGCAGCAGCCUUCCUGAAGCAUUUGCCCUUUUGAAAGUCCUUGUAGGCUUUACCAUUUUGACAACUGUGUAUGGAGAUUCAAGACUUUAUCUGACAUAAUUUUGUUUAAAAAGUUAUAUUGAGGUUUGAGGACACAAAUACGUAUUCUACCUGUAUUAACUGGCCAAAAAAUAAAGUUGUAUUGGAUAGA
Molecule: long non-coding RNA, 4619 nt
Organism: Macaca mulatta (Rhesus monkey)
Lineage: Eukaryota; Metazoa; Chordata; Mammalia; Primates; Cercopithecidae
Source: RefSeq, a predicted model, not a curated record